Molecule: long non-coding RNA, 1109 nt
Organism: Salvia hispanica
Lineage: Eukaryota; Viridiplantae; Streptophyta; Magnoliopsida; Lamiales; Lamiaceae
Source: RefSeq, a predicted model, not a curated record
UUCUAGAUCUGGAAGUUGUUGGUAUUAUGUGUUGAUGUUUUAGUUUAUUCGGUAUCUAAGUCUUUGGAAAAGAUUCAAAAUCGCUAUUAGUCUAAUAUUUUGUGCAUGUAAAUCAUGUCCAUGCAAUAUUUGGAAGUUUUCGCAUUUUUACUUAGAUUCGGAAGAAAUUAUGUUAAUGUAGUUUUCAAUCAUACUUCCGGCUAUUUGUGUGGAAGAAGGAAGUAUAAAGUAGGGUCUUAAAUUCUUAAUUGCCUUUUGUUUUAUUGUCAAAUUUUCAGUAUUACUUUUUCAAAUUCUAAAUAGUGAUUUGUUUAUUAGAGUAAGUUAGACAUACUCUUUUCAGUUUCAUUUACUAAUAUUUGGCCAGAUUGUUUUCACCUUUAGCUGCUUUAUGACUUUCAUGUCUAUUGUAGGUUAAAAUAUGAGAUUGGAGUUUAAAAAAGUUGUGGUGUAUUAAAAUUUAAAGCAUGUACUCAGCAUUGCCUGAUUUGAAUAAGCAUCCAAAACUAGUUGGCAAUUGCCAAAAUCUUGAGGUAGCAAAUCCUGCUUAAUCAUGUGACUUUUCAAACCAUAACCAUGUGAACAUAGCAUAAAUUAACAGCAUCACAUGUCUGCAGCUUCACUUUUUAAAUAAUGCUAAAUUUCACUUGUACCAAAUUUUCAACCACUAAAGAUCACUACUUGUUGCAUAUAAAUAUGGCAUAACUCUUGCUCAGCAUAGGUUCUUCCAUUUUCUCCCAUCACAUAUACACAUUACAUUUACAUUUUCUUUUUCUCUGAAGAUUGAUUAAUCUUAUACAUAUUUAAUUUCUUGGAAUGGAGCUGAGGAUUUCUAGGGAUGGAUAAGCACUAUGGAUGUGAUAAAGAUCGUAAAACUGUGCUAGCAAAAUCUACAUGCAUGACGUUCGUGGGUCGGGCAAGAACAUCCAUGUCGGCUGUUUCAUGCCCUCAAGUGUGUUUAUUUCAGCUUGUGUUGCUGAAUAUUUCGAGUACACCAGCCACGGUCAAGACUGAGGGCUAUCAGAUACUCUAUAUAUAUAUAUAUAUAUAUACAUAAGUUAGAAGUAAUAAUUUUCCAGCAAGAAUAAAGGGAUACUCUAGCUUCUCUA